RNAcentral lists this ribosomal RNA (253 nucleotides) under uncultured bacterium. Its description in RNAcentral is "partial 16S ribosomal RNA". It matches the Rfam family "Bacterial small subunit ribosomal RNA", at positions 524 to 776 of the family's 1533-position model. The record is from RNAcentral.
UACAGAGGGGGCAAGCGUUAUUCGGAAUUAUUGGGCGUAAAGCGCGCGCAGGCGGUCCUUUAGGUCUGAUGUGAAAGCCCACGGCUCAACCGAGGAACUGCGUCUGAUACUGGAAGGCUUGAAUCCGGGAGAGGGAUGUGGAAUUCCAGGUGUAGCGGUGAAAUGUGUAGAUAUCUGGAGGAACACCGGUGGCGAAGGCAGGUCUCUGGGCAUUAACCGACGCUGAGGAGCGAAAGCAUGGGGAGCGAACAGG